RNAcentral lists this ribosomal RNA (253 nucleotides) under uncultured bacterium. Its description in RNAcentral is "partial 16S ribosomal RNA". It matches the Rfam family "Bacterial small subunit ribosomal RNA", at positions 524 to 776 of the family's 1533-position model. The record is from RNAcentral.
GACAGAGGUGCCAAGCGUUAGGCGGAAUCACUGGGCUUAAAGCGUGUGUAGGUGGAUUUGUAAGUACCUUGUGAAAUCCCACGGCUCAACCGUGGAACUGCUUGGUAUACUGGCGGUCUUGAGCCAGCUAGGGGCUACCGGAACAAAUGGUGGAGCGGUGAAAUGCGUAGAUAUCAUUUGGAACGCCAAUGGUGAAAACAGGUAGCUGGGGCUGUGCUGACACUGAGACACGAAAGCCAGGGGAGCAAACGGG